UAGGUAAUCUUCGGCAAUGGGGGGAACCCUGACCGAGCAACUCCGCGUGAGUGAAGAAGGUUUUCGGAUCGUAAAGCUCUUUUGUUAAGGAAGAACGAGUGUGAGAAUGGAAAGUUCAUACUGUGACGGUACUUAACCAGAAAGGGACGGCUAACUACGUGCCAGCAGCCGCGGUAAUACGUAGGUCCCGAGCGUCGUCCGGAUUUAUUGGGCGUAAAGCGAGCGCAGGCGGUUAGAUAAGUCUGAAGUUAAAGGCAGUGGCUCAACCAUUGUAGGCUUUGGAAACUGUUUAACUUGAGUGCAGAAGGGGAGAGUGGAAUUCCAUGUGUAGCGGUGAAAUGCGUAGAUAUAUGGAGGAACACCGGUGGCGAAAGCGGCUCUCUGGUCUGUAACUGACGCUGAGGCUCGAAAGCGUGGGGAGCGAACAGG
This 429-nucleotide ribosomal RNA is filed under the name Bacteroidota bacterium. RNAcentral's name for it is "Bacteroidetes bacterium partial 16S ribosomal RNA". It matches the Rfam family "Bacterial small subunit ribosomal RNA", at positions 355 to 776 of the family's 1533-position model. The record is from RNAcentral. Lineage: Bacteria; Pseudomonadati; Bacteroidota.